CAGCGACGGGCACAUGCAAGUCGAACGGUAGCACGAAGCAAUAAGCUGCUUUGCUGACGAGUGGCGGACGGGUGAGUAAUGUCUGGGAAACUGCCUGAUGGAGGGGGAUAACUACUGGAAACGGUAGCUAAUACCGCAUAACGUCGCAAGACCAAAGUGGGGGACCUUCGGGCCUCAUGCCAUCAGAUGUGCCCAGAUGGGAUUAGCUAGUAGGUGAGGUAAUGGCUCACCUAGGCGACGAUCCCUAGCUGGUCUGAGAGGAUGACCAGCCACACUGGAACUGAGACACGGUCCAGACUCCUACGGGAGGCAGCAGUGGGGAAUAUUGCACAAUGGGCGCAAGCCUGAUGCAGCCAUGCCGCGUGUAUGAAGAAGGCCUUCGGGUUGUAAAGUACUUUCAGCGAGGAGGAAGGCAUUAAGGUUAAUAACCUUAGUGAUUGACGUUACUCGCAGAAGAAGCACCGGCUAACUCCGUGCCAGCAGCCGCGGUAAU
This 493-nucleotide ribosomal RNA is filed under the name uncultured bacterium. RNAcentral describes it as "bacterial SSU rRNA". It matches the Rfam family "Bacterial small subunit ribosomal RNA", at positions 39 to 524 of the family's 1533-position model. The record is from RNAcentral.